RNAcentral lists this non-coding RNA (28 nucleotides) under Homo sapiens (human). The record is from RNAcentral. Lineage: Eukaryota; Metazoa; Chordata; Mammalia; Primates; Hominidae.
UGAGCUACUACAUCUGUCCAAAAGCUGC